RNAcentral lists this ribosomal RNA (253 nucleotides) under uncultured bacterium. RNAcentral describes it as "partial 16S ribosomal RNA". It matches the Rfam family "Bacterial small subunit ribosomal RNA", at positions 524 to 776 of the family's 1533-position model. The record is from RNAcentral.
UACGAAGGGUGCAAGCGUUACUCGGAAUUACUGGGCGUAAAGGGCGCGUAGGCGGCCCGCUAAGUCGAACGUGAAAUCCCCAGGCUCAACCUGGGAACUGCGUCCGAUACUGGCAGGCUUGAAUCCCGGAGAGGGAUGUGGAAUUCCAGGUGUAGCGGUGAAAUGCGUUGAUAUCAAUAGGAACUCCGGUGGCGAAGGCGGCACGCUGGACCUCUUCUGACGCUGAGGCGCGAAAGCCAGGGGAGCAAACGGG